This 229-nucleotide ribosomal RNA is filed under the name uncultured bacterium. RNAcentral describes it as "partial 16S ribosomal RNA". It matches the Rfam family "Bacterial small subunit ribosomal RNA", at positions 568 to 796 of the family's 1533-position model. The record is from RNAcentral.
UGCGUAGGUGGACUCGUAUGUCAGGUGUGAAAUCCCUGGGCUUAACCCAGGAACUGCGCUUGAAACUGCGAGACUAGAGCAUGUCAGAGGUAAGCGGAAUUCCCGGAGUAGCGGUGAAAUGCGUAGAUAUCGGGAAGAACACCAGUGGCGAAGGCGGCUUACUGGGGCAUUGCUGACACUGAGGCACGAAAGCGUGGGGAGCGAACAGGAUUAGAUACCCUGGUAGUCC